RNAcentral lists this ribosomal RNA (520 nucleotides) under Microhyla ornata (ornate rice frog). RNAcentral's name for it is "partial 16S ribosomal RNA". It matches the Rfam family "Bacterial large subunit ribosomal RNA", at positions 1856 to 2592 of the family's 2925-position model. The record is from RNAcentral. Lineage: Eukaryota; Metazoa; Chordata; Amphibia; Anura; Microhylidae.
AGCCUGCCCAGUGACUAAGUUAAACGGCCGCGGUACCCUAACCGUGCAAAGGUAGCGCAAUCACUUGUUCUUUAAAUGAGGACUAGUAUGAACGGCAUCACGAGGGUUAUACUGUCUCCCUAUUCCAAUCAGUGAAACUGAUCUUCCCGUGAAGAAGCGGGAAUAAAUAUAUAAGACGAGAAGACCCCAUGGAGCUUUAAACUCAGUACCACCUGCUAUUUUCAAAUCCUAUUAAUCACUCAGACAUGGUAACUAGUUUUCGGUUGGGGUGACCGCGGAGCAAAACAAAACCUCCACAACGAAAGGAACUAACAACCUAAUCCAAGAGCAACAUCUCUAAGAAUUAAAAAAUUAACUUAAUUGAUCCAAUUACUUGAUCAACGAACCAAGUUACCCUGGGGAUAACAGCGCAAUCCAUUUAAAGAGCUCUUAUCGACAAAUGGGUUUACGACCUCGAUGUUGGAUCAGGGUAUCCCAGUGGCGCAGCAGCUACUAAAGGUUCGUUUGUUCAACGAUUAAA